RNAcentral lists this ribosomal RNA (746 nucleotides) under uncultured bacterium. RNAcentral describes it as "bacterial SSU rRNA". It matches the Rfam family "Bacterial small subunit ribosomal RNA", at positions 8 to 747 of the family's 1533-position model. The record is from RNAcentral.
AGAGUUUGAUCAUGGCUCAGAUUGAACGCUGGCGGCAGGCUUAACACAUGCAAGUCGAGCGGGGGAAAGUAGCUUGCUACUGGACCUAGCGGCGGACGGGUGAGUAAUGCUUAGGAAUCUGCCUAUUAGUGGGGGACAACAUUCCGAAAGGAAUGCUAAUACCGCAUACGUCCUACGGGAGAAAGCAGGGGACCUUCGGGCCUUGCGCUAAUAGAUGAGCCUAAGUCGGAUUAGCUAGUUGGUGGGGUAAAGGCCUACCAAGGCGACGAUCUGUAGCGGGUCUGAGAGGAUGAUCCGCCACACUGGGACUGAGACACGGCCCAGACUCCUACGGGAGGCAGCAGUGGGGAAUAUUGGACAAUGGGGGGAACCCUGAUCCAGCCAUGGCCGCGUGUGUGAAGAAGGCCUUAUGGUUGUAAAGCACUUUAAGCGAGGAGGAGGCUACUAGUAUUAAUACUACUGGAUAGUGGACGUUACUCGCAGAAUAAGCACCGGCUAACUCUGUGCCAGCAGCCGCGGUAAUACAGAGGGUGCGAGCGUUAAUCGGAUUUACUGGGCGUAAAGCGUGCGUAGGCGGCCAUUUAAGUCAAAUGUGAAAUCCCCGAGCUUAACUUGGGAAUUGCAUUCGAUACUGGAUGGCUAGAGUAUGGGAGAGGAUGGUAGAAUUCCAGGUGUAGCGGUGAAAUGCGUAGAGAUCUGGAGGAAUACCGAUGGCGAAGGCAGCCAUCUGGCCUAAUACUGACGCU